Molecule: ribosomal RNA, 458 nt
Filed under: uncultured bacterium
Lineage: Bacteria
Description: bacterial SSU rRNA
Rfam family: Bacterial small subunit ribosomal RNA
Source: RNAcentral
UUGAACGCUGGCGGCAUGCUUUACACAUGCAAGUCGAACGGCAGCGGGGGCUUCGGCCUGCCGGCGAGUGGCGAACGGGUGAGUAAUGCAUCGGAACGUGCCCAGUCAUGGGGGAUAACUACGCGAAAGCGUAGCUAAUACCGCAUACGCCCUGAGGGGGAAAGCGGGGGAUCGCAAGACCUCGCGUGAUUGGAGCGGCCGAUGUCGGAUUAGCUAGUUGGUGGGGUAAAGGCCUACCAAGGCGACGAUCCGUAGCGGGUCUGAGAGGAUGAUCCGCCACACUGGGACUGAGACACGGCCCAGACUCCUACGGGAGGCAGCAGUGGGGAAUUUUGGACAAUGGGGGCAACCCUGAUCCAGCCAUGCCGCGUGAGUGAAGAAGGCCUUCGGGUUGUAAAGCACUUUUUGGAAGGAAUAGGAAGGAAUGUACUUCCAGAAUAAGUCUCGGCUAACUACGU